Molecule: ribosomal RNA, 497 nt
Filed under: uncultured bacterium
Lineage: Bacteria
Description: partial 16S ribosomal RNA
Rfam family: Bacterial small subunit ribosomal RNA
Source: RNAcentral
GACGAACGCUGGCGGCGUGCCUAAUACAUGCAAGUUGAGCGCUGAAGGUUGGUACUUGUACCAACUGGAUGAGCAGCGAACGGGUGAGUAACGCGUGGGGAAUCUGCCUUUGAGCGGGGGACAACAUUUGGAAACGAAUGCUAAUACCGCAUAAAAACUUUAAACACAAGUUUUAAGUUUGAAAGAUGCAAUUGCAUCACUCAAAGAUGAUCCCGCGUUGUAUUAGCUAGUUGGUGAGGUAAAGGCUCACCAAGGCGAUGAUACAUAGCCGACCUGAGAGGGUGAUCGGCCACAUUGGGACGGAGACACGGCCCAAACUCCUACGGGAGGCAGCAGUAGGGAAUCUUCGGCAAUGGGCGAAAGUCUGACCGAGCAACGCCGCGUGAGUGAAGAAGGUUUUCGGAUCGUAAAACUCUGUUGGUAGAGAAGAACGUUGGUGAGAGUGGAAAGCUCAUCAAGUGACGGUAACUACACAGAAAGGGACGGCUAACUACGCG